Fundulus heteroclitus (mummichog) is the source of this 442-nucleotide long non-coding RNA. RefSeq lists it as uncharacterized. The transcript is spliced from 2 exons. NCBI's taxonomy places the organism in Eukaryota, Metazoa, Chordata, Actinopteri, Cyprinodontiformes, Fundulidae. The record is from RefSeq and is a predicted model, not a curated record.
UUUAUUUUUGCCUUUCUGAUAAUUUUACUGCCAUAAUUUCAGUUGAUGUAUUUUCCUUUGCAUUAUGCAGAUUUAUGUCAUUGAGUCCCUUAUUUUGAAAAUCUAAGGAGGGAACUUUGUUGGGGCAAAUUGGUUCUGCUGGCACACCUGUGAUAGGUACACACCUGUGUGAGAGGCUUGCCAGUUGUGAAGCGUGAGAUGGGUUAUAGCCAGAGGGGCUGCUUUGAGUUGGAGAAAGUCAAAGGAUGCCUGAUUGGUUGAUUUCCUCAUUUCUACUUCUACGCAUGGGUCAGCCAGCAUGUAUGUUUACAUGUUAUGUAACUUUAUUUGUUUUGCUGUCUUGCUGUUACAAUGAGUUUAUGUUGUAUUUUAGUUCAUGUGAUGCUGUAACAAUCAAGACUGUACAUCCCAAAAUAAAGUCAACAUCAUGCCAUCAGUAAAA